GACGAACGCUGGCGGCGUGCUUAACACAUGCAAGUCGAACGGAAAGGCCCUGCUUUUGUGGGGUGCUCGAGUGGCGAACGGGUGAGUAACACGUGAGUAACCUGCCCUUGACUUUGGGAUAACUUCAGGAAACUGGGGCUAAUACCGGAUAGGAGCUCCUGCUGCAUGGUGGGGGUUGGAAAGUUUCGGCGGUUGGGGAUGGACUCGCGGCUUAUCAGCUUGUUGGUGGGGUAGUGGCUUACCAAGGCUUUGACGGGUAGCCGGCCUGAGAGGGUGACCGGCAACAUUGGGACUGAGAUACGGCCCAGACUCCUACGGGAGGCAGCAGUGGGGAAUAUUGCACAAUGGGCGGAAGCCUGAUGCAGCAACGCCGCGUGCGGGAUGACGGCCUUCGGGUUGUAAACCGCUUUCGCCUGUGACGAAGCGUGAGUGACGGUAAUGGGUAAAGGAGCACCGGCUAACUACGUG
RNAcentral lists this ribosomal RNA (468 nucleotides) under uncultured bacterium. Its description in RNAcentral is "partial 16S ribosomal RNA". It matches the Rfam family "Bacterial small subunit ribosomal RNA", at positions 28 to 507 of the family's 1533-position model. The record is from RNAcentral.